Molecule: ribosomal RNA, 253 nt
Filed under: uncultured bacterium
Lineage: Bacteria
Description: partial 16S ribosomal RNA
Rfam family: Bacterial small subunit ribosomal RNA
Source: RNAcentral
UACAGAGGGUGCGAGCGUUAAUCGGAAUUACUGGGCGUAAAGAGUGCGUAGGCGGAUAUUUAAGUCAGAUGUGAAAGCCCUGGGCUUAACCUAGGAAUUGCAUCUGAUACUGGAUGUCUAGAGUAUGGUAGAGGAUAGCGGAAUUUCCGGUGUAGCGGUGAAAUGCGUAGAUAUCGGAAGGAACACCAGUGGCGAAGGCGGCUAUCUGGGCCAAUACUGACGCUGAGGCACGAAAGCGUGGGGAGCGAACAGG